This 274-nucleotide ribosomal RNA is filed under the name uncultured bacterium. RNAcentral describes it as "partial 16S ribosomal RNA". It matches the Rfam family "Bacterial small subunit ribosomal RNA", at positions 523 to 796 of the family's 1533-position model. The record is from RNAcentral.
AUACGGAGGGUCCGAGCGUUAUCCGGAAUCAUUGGGCUUAAAGGGUCCGUAGGCGGUAAUCUAAGUCAGUGGUGAAAUCUUGCAGCUUAACUGUAAAAUUGUCAUUGAUACUGGAUUUCUUGAAUUAGUGUGAAGUGGUUAGAAUGUGUAGUGUAGCGGUGAAAUGCAUAGAUAUUACACAGAAUACCAAUUGCGAAGGCAGAUCACUAACACUAUAUUGACGCUGAGGGACGAAAGCGUGGGGAGCGAACAGGAUUAGAAACCCGAGUAGUCC